Molecule: non-coding RNA, 763 nt
Filed under: Micronecta sahlbergii
Lineage: Eukaryota; Metazoa; Arthropoda; Insecta; Hemiptera; Micronectidae
Source: RNAcentral
GAAAAGUUUGAUUCUUGCUUUUAUGAUUUUUAAAAUAUGUAUUUUACAUGCGAGAUUUAUCAGGUUAAGUUUUAUUCUAAAAGAUUAUUAUUUUAGAUUCGCAGUUUUUAGUUUUACUUUUUACUGGAGGGUAGAUGAAGACAAUAUUUUUAGUACAGGCUAAAGUUGUGCCAGCAGUCGCGGUUAUACAAUUUGUGCAAGAAAUUAAUUUAGGUUAAUAUUAUAUUUAUUUAUUUUAUUAAAAUAUAUUAUUUUUUGGUGAAAUUUACAAUUAUAUUUUUAUUAUAGGUUAAUUAUUAUAUAUGAAAUUUUUUUUUAAACUAGGAUUAGAUACCCUAUUAUUUGGAAUGUAUUUAGUAAACCGGAGUAUUAAUAGUUAAGGUCUUUAAAUUUAAAGAAUUUGGCGGUAAUUGAUCUUUUCAGAGGAACCUGUCCUGUAAUCGAUAGUCCACGAUAGAUCCCACUAAGAUUGUGCUUAUAUACCUCUGUCAAUGAAUGUAUUAAUAGAUAAUUUUCUUUUUUCUUUAUGGGAAAAAUGUCAGGUCAAGGUGUAGCUAUAUUUUAGUAGAGAUGGGUUACAUUUUUUUUAAAAUUGGUUUAAUUUAUGUAAAUAAAUUAAUAAAUUGGAUUUGAGAGUAAUUUAUAUUAUAUUAUAUUUAUGAUUUAGGCUCUUGAUUAAGUACACAUCGCCCGUCACUCUCACUUUUAAAGUGAGAUAAGUCGUAACAAAGUAGGCCUAUCGGAAGAUGGGCCUUGAAUUAAU